GACGAACGCUGGCGGCGUGCUUAACACAUGCAAGUCGAACGGAAAGGCCCUGCUUUUGUGGGAUGCUCGGGUGGCGAACGGGUGAGUAACACGUGAGUAACCUGCCCUUGACUUUGGGAUAACUUCAGGAAACUGGGGCUAAUACCGGAUAGGAGCUCCUGCUGCAUGGUGGGGGUUGGAAAGUUUCGGCGGUUGGGGAUGGACUCGCGGCUUAUCAGCUUGUUGGUGGGGUAGUGGCUUACCAAGGCUUUGACGGGUAGCCGGCCUGAGAGGGUGACCGGCCACAUUGGGACUGAGAUACGGCCCAGACGCCUACGGGGGGCAGCAGUGGGGAAUAUUGCACAAUGGGCGGAAGCCUGAUGCAGCAACGCCGCGUGCGGGAUGACGGCCUUCGGGUUGUAAACCGCUUUCGCCUGUGACGAAGCGUGAGUGACGGUAAUGGGUAAAGAAGCACCGGCUAACUACGUG
This 468-nucleotide ribosomal RNA is filed under the name uncultured bacterium. RNAcentral describes it as "partial 16S ribosomal RNA". It matches the Rfam family "Bacterial small subunit ribosomal RNA", at positions 28 to 507 of the family's 1533-position model. The record is from RNAcentral.